RNAcentral lists this ribosomal RNA (259 nucleotides) under uncultured bacterium. Its description in RNAcentral is "partial small subunit ribosomal RNA". It matches the Rfam family "Bacterial small subunit ribosomal RNA", at positions 26 to 285 of the family's 1533-position model. The record is from RNAcentral.
AGGACGAACGCUGGCGGCGUGCUUAACACAUGCAAGUCGAGCGAGGCCCCUCCUUCGGGAGGGUGUCCUAGCGGCGAACGGGUGAGUAACACGUGGGCAACCUGCCCUCAGCUCUGGGAUAACCCCGGGAAACCGGGGCUAAUACCGGAUACGACCUCCACGGGCAUCUGCGGAGGUGGAAAGCUCCGGCGGUCAAGGAUGGGCUCGCGGCCUAUCAGCUUGUUGGUGAGGUAACGGCUCACCAAGGCUUCGACGGGUA